CGGUAGCAGAAGAAGCUUGCUUCUUUGCUGACGAGUGGCGGAUUGGCGCGUAAUGUCUGGGGAUCUGCCCGGUAGAGGGGGAUAACCACUGGAAACGGUGGCUAAUACCGCAUAAUCUCGCAAGAGCAAAGUGGGGGACCUUCGGGCCUCACACUACCGGAUGAACCCAGAUGGGAUUAGCUAGUUGGUGGGGUAAUGGCUCACCAAGGCGACGAUCCCUAGCUGGUCUGAGAGGAUGACCAGCCACACUGGAACUGAGACACGGUCCAGACUCCUACGGGAGGCAGCAGUGGGGAAUAUUGCACAAUGGGCGCAAGCCUGAUGCAGCCAUGCCGCGUGUAUGAAGAAGGCCUUCGGGUUGUAAAGUACUUUCAGCGGGGAGGAAGGGAGAGUGGUUAAUAACCGCUUUCAUUGACGUUACCCGCAGAAGAAGCACCGGCUAACUCCGUGCCAGCAGCCGCGGUAAUACGGAGGGUGCAAGCGUUAAUCGGAAUUACUGGGCGUAAAGCGCACGCAGGCGGUCUGUUAAGUCAGAUGUGAAAUCCCCGGGCUCAACCCGGGAACUGCAUUUGAAACUGGCAGGCUUGAGUCUCGUAGAGGGGGGGUGGAAUUCCAGGUGUAGCGGUGAAAUGCGUAGAGAUCUGGAGGAAUACCGGUGGCGAAAGGCGGCCCCCUGGACGAAGACUGACGCUCAGGUGCGAAAGCGUGGGGAGCAAAC
Molecule: ribosomal RNA, 718 nt
Filed under: Erwinia sp.
Lineage: Bacteria; Pseudomonadati; Pseudomonadota; Gammaproteobacteria; Enterobacterales; Erwiniaceae
Description: bacterial SSU rRNA
Rfam family: Bacterial small subunit ribosomal RNA
Source: RNAcentral